GAUGAAGAACGUAGCGAAAUGCGAUAAGUAAUGUGAAUUGCAGAAUUCAGUGAAUCAUCGAAUCUUUGAACGCACAUUGCGCCCCCUGGUAUUCCGUGGGGCAUGCCUGUUCGAGCGUCAUUUACCCCUCAAGCACUGCUUGGUGUUGGGCGUCUGUCCCGCUUCGCGCGCGGACUCGCCCCAAAGGUAUUGGCAGCGGUCGUGCCAGCUUCUCGCGCAGCACAUUGCGCUUCUCGAGGCGGUCGAUCGGCGUCCACGAAGCUCACCUCCACCGUUUGACCUCGGAUCAGGUAGGGAUACCCGCUGAACUUAAGCAUAUCAAUAAGCGGAGGA
RNAcentral lists this unclassified non-coding RNA (333 nucleotides) under soil metagenome. RNAcentral's name for it is "partial contains 5.8S ribosomal RNA, internal transcribed spacer 2, and large subunit ribosomal RNA". The stretch from base 1 to 120 matches the Rfam family "5.8S ribosomal RNA", at positions 35 to 154 of the family's 154-position model. The record is from RNAcentral.